RNAcentral lists this ribosomal RNA (534 nucleotides) under uncultured organism. RNAcentral describes it as "bacterial SSU rRNA". It matches the Rfam family "Bacterial small subunit ribosomal RNA", at positions 337 to 888 of the family's 1533-position model. The record is from RNAcentral.
UCCUACGGGAGGCAGCAGUGGGGAAUAUUGCACAAUGGGGGAAACCCUGAUGCAGCGACGCCGCGUGGAGGAAGAAGGUCUUCGGAUUGUAAACUCCUGUUGUUGAGGAAGAUAAUGACGGUACUCAACAAGGAAGUGACGGCUAACUACGUGCCAGCAGCCGCGGUAAAACGUAGGUCACAAGCGUUGUCCGGAAUUACUGGGUGUAAAGGGAGCGCAGGCGGGCGAUCAAGUUGGAAGUGAAAUCCAUGGGCUCAACCCAUGAACUGCUUUCAAAACUGAUUGUCUUGAGUAGUGCAGAGGUAGGCGGAAUUCCCGGUGUAGCGGUGGAAUGCGUAGAUAUCGGGAGGAACACCAGUGGCGAAGGCGGCCUACUGGGCACCAACUGACGCUGAGGCUCGAAAGUGUGGGUAGCAAACAGGAUUAGAUACCCUGGUAGUCCACACCGUAAACGAUGAUUACUAGGUGUUGGAGGAUUGACCCCUUCAGUGCCGCAGUUAACACAAUAAGUAAUCCACCUGGGGAGUACGACCA